UGAAAUCAAUGAAGAAACUUCGGUCCUAUCACUUCGAAUCCGAUUUGAUCUGAUAGUCAAACUUUAGAUCAUUUAGGUCCUAAUUAGAUUUUGAUUAGAUAAAAUUAGAUGAUCGGACCCAAUCUAAACCGUUGAAAUAUGGUAUUCGUAUUCUUUUUAGUUAUUAAAAUUGAUUCUGUAUAGGAUUGUGGAUGUUUGAUCAUGGGAUAUUGCGAUAUGAUCUACGAACAGAAUUUUUGAAAGAAAAUUUAUAGAAUUAUGUGGAUUUAUUGGAAUACGUUUGAGGUAAGUAAUGUUUCACUUUUUCUAGAUUUAUCAGCAAAUUAUAAUAUAUUUUUCUGACAUGAUUUGUGAAACAAUGCAUGAAUUGGAUGAAUGGUAUUUUGUUAUGAAAAUAUUUUAUUUGAAAUAUUAUGAUGAAGCAUGAUUAAACAUAUUGAUUUCAUGAUGAAGAAUUAUGAUAUAAGAAACAUUAUGAAUUGACAACCUGACUAUGUAAAGGAUCCCACCAAUGGGGGCAUAUACAUUGGCAAUUGUUUGUCCUGAGGGUUUAUGUCGCCAGCGAGACCAGCGACAUGUCGCCAGAGAAACCAGCGACAAACCGCCAGAGAGACCAGCGGUUCCGAAGGACUUUGCUGCCAGAUGAUUCGCAGCUCACCGCAAGCAGAUACGCGGUAUUAUGACCCUGCCACAGAGAAAAUAUGGUCAUAGCUCAUGGUUGACGAAAAGAAUUGAAGAACA
This 741-nucleotide long non-coding RNA is filed under the name Elaeis guineensis (African oil palm). RNAcentral's name for it is "long non-coding RNA (EGUI_LNC028323)". The record is from RNAcentral. Lineage: Eukaryota; Viridiplantae; Streptophyta; Magnoliopsida; Arecales; Arecaceae.